GGCCCAUUAGCUCAAUUGGUUAGAGCGUCGUGCAUUCGCACCAUAAACUACAGGUUCGAUACCUGUAUGGGCCA
RNAcentral lists this transfer RNA (74 nucleotides) under Marchantia polymorpha subsp. ruderalis. It matches the Rfam family "tRNA". Rfam says of the family: Transfer RNA (tRNA) molecules are approximately 80 nucleotides in length. Lineage: Eukaryota; Viridiplantae; Streptophyta; Marchantiopsida; Marchantiales; Marchantiaceae. The record is from Rfam by way of RNAcentral.